RNAcentral lists this transfer RNA (72 nucleotides) under Anthus richardi. RNAcentral describes it as "tRNA-Glu". The record is from RNAcentral. RNAcentral also lists the same sequence under 1 other name. Lineage: Eukaryota; Metazoa; Chordata; Aves; Passeriformes; Motacillidae.
GUUCCCAACCUUAAAAAAAAAUAAAAACCGCUUUUCCGGCCGUUUAUCCCGGAAAAAGGCCCAGGGGGAACU